This 932-nucleotide ribosomal RNA is filed under the name uncultured organism. RNAcentral describes it as "bacterial SSU rRNA". It matches the Rfam family "Bacterial small subunit ribosomal RNA", at positions 544 to 1490 of the family's 1533-position model. The record is from RNAcentral.
UCCGGAUUUAUUAGGUUUAAAGGGUGUUCAGGCUGUCUGGUAAGUCAGAGGUGAAAGUCGGUUGCUUAACGAUCGAAUUGCCUUUGAAACUGUCAGACUUGAGUAUGGAUGCGGUAGGCGGAAUGUGUAGUGUAGCGGUGAAAUGCAUAGAUAUUACACAGAACACCGAUUGCGAAAGCAGCUUACCAAACCAGCACUGACGCUGAAGCACGAAAGCGUGGGUAGCGAACAGGAUUAGAUACCCUGGUAGUCCACGCAGUAAACGAUGCUCACUCGCUGUUGGCAAUAGAUCGUCAGCGGCUAAGGGAAACCGAUAAGUGAGCCACCUGGGGAGUACGAUCGCAAGAUUGAAACUCAAAGGAAUUGACGGGGGCCCGCACAAGCGGUGGAACAUGUGGUUUAAUUCGAUGAUACGCGAGGAACCUUACCUGGGCUUAAAUGUACGAUGCAUAAGUGUGAAAGCACUUUUUCCUUCGGGACUUUGUACAAGGUGCUGCAUGGUUGUCGUCAGCUCGUGCCGUGAGGUGUCGGGUUAAGUCCCAUAACGAGCGCAACCCCUAUUGUUAGUUACCAGCGCGUAAAGGCGGGGACUCUAGCGAAACUGCCGGUGUAAACCGCGAGGAAGGUGGGGAUGACGUCAAAUCAGCACGGCCCUUAUGUCCAGGGCUACACACGUGUUACAAUGGCCGGUACAGCGGGCAGCGAGGCAGCGAUGCCGAGCGAAUCUCGAAAGCCGGUCCCAGUUCGGAUUGGAGUCUGCAACCCGACUCCAUGAAGGUGGAAUCGCUAGUAAUCGCGCAUCAGCCAUGGCGCGGUGAUACGUUCCCGGGCCUUGUACACACCGCCCGUCAAGCCAUGGAAGUCUGGGGUGCCUGAAGGCCGUAACCGCGAGGAGCGGUCUAGGGUAAACAGAUGACUGGGGCUAAGUCGUA